Molecule: ribosomal RNA, 773 nt
Filed under: uncultured Enterobacteriaceae bacterium
Lineage: Bacteria; Pseudomonadati; Pseudomonadota; Gammaproteobacteria; Enterobacterales; Enterobacteriaceae
Description: SSU rRNA
Rfam family: Bacterial small subunit ribosomal RNA
Source: RNAcentral
AAGUCGAGCGGUAGCACAGAAGAGCUGCUCUCGGGUGACGAGCGGCGGACGGGUGAGUAAUGUCUGGGAAACUGCCUGAUGGAGGGGGAUAACUACUGGAAACGGUAGCUAAUACCGCAUAACGUCGCAAGACCAAAGUGGGGGACCUUCGGGCCUCAUGCCAUCAGAUGUGCCCAGAUGGGAUUAGCUAGUAGGUGGGGUAACGGCUCACCUAGGCGACGAUCCCUAGCUGGUCUGAGAGGAUGACCAGCCACACUGGAACUGAGACACGGUCCAGACUCCUACGGGAGGCAGCAGUGGGGAAUAUUGCACAAUGGGCGCAAGCCUGAUGCAGCCAUGCCGCGUGUGUGAAGAAGGCCUUCGGGUUGUAAAGCACUUUCAGCGGGGAGGAAGGCGGUGAGGUUAAUAACCUCAUCGAUUGACGUUACCCGCAGAAGAAGCACCGGCUAACUCCGUGCCAGCAGCCGCGGUAAUACGGAGGGUGCAAGCGUUAAUCGGAAUUACUGGGCGUAAAGCGCACGCAGGCGGUCUGUCAAGUCGGAUGUGAAAUCCCCGGGCUCAACCUGGGAACUGCAUUCGAAACUGGCAGGCUAGAGUCUUGUAGAGGGGGGUAGAAUUCCAGGUGUAGCGGUGANAAUGCGUAGAGAUCUGGAGGAAUACCGGUGGCGAAGGCAGCCCCCUGGACAAAGACUGACGCUCAGGUGCGAAAGCGUGGGGAGCAAACAGGAUUAGAUAUCCUGGUAGUCCACGCCGUAAACGAUGUCGAUUUGGAG